RNAcentral lists this ribosomal RNA (406 nucleotides) under uncultured bacterium. Its description in RNAcentral is "bacterial SSU rRNA". It matches the Rfam family "Bacterial small subunit ribosomal RNA", at positions 362 to 758 of the family's 1533-position model. The record is from RNAcentral.
UUUUGGACAAUGGGCGAAAGCCUGAUCCAGCCAUUCCGCGUGAGUGAAGAAGGCCUUCGGGUUGUAAAGCUCUUUCGCCCCCGGCCCCCAACGAUGCAGUCGAAUAAACUGUGUUAAUGACGGUACCUUGAUAAGAAGCACCGGCUAACUACGUGCCAGCAGCCGCGGUAAUACGUAGGGUGCAAGCGUUAAUCGGAAUUACUGGGCGUAAAGCGUGCGCAGGCGGUUUUGUAAGUCAGAUGUGAAAUCCCCGAGCUCAACUUGGGAACUGGGUUUGAAACUACAAGACUAGAAUAUGUCAGAGGGGGGUAGAAUUCCACGUGUAGCAGUGAAAUGCGUAGAGAUGUGGAGGAAUACCAAUGGCGAAGGCAGCCCCCUGGGAUAAUAUUGACGCUCAUGCACGAAA